GCACAACCUCUGGUUAUUUACUCUGCUCCUGGGUGCAACUCCCAUGUCACCCUCCAUGGCGGUGUGUCCUUGGGAGUUUAGCUAAGCUACUCCAUGGUAUUGCUGCUUCAGUAAACUUUUUGUUUGGCCACUGCGCCUGUGGGGGCCUUAAACUGCCACUCGCCCCCCCCCCCCCCCCCCCGCAAGUGCAUGCCUUGGUCACCACAGUCACAAGGAAAUGUCAGUUCCUGAUGUAACUUCCCCAACACCCCUUCCGAUCCGAUCAAUGGUCUCCCCUGCCUCCCACAACCUUCCCCUUGUGAGGUCCUUGGACACCUCUGGGACUUGUGUUUUACAAAGUGACCUGCUCUUUUUGGUUUGAAUUGGCCAACCUGGCCUUAGCCCAGGAAUCCCAAAGCACUCUACUCACAGAUGCUCAGGUGCCUCAGGGCCUGCCUCUCUCUGCCUGCGGCCUGCCUUGACCUCCCCAUGUGGCUCCUGGAGGCGUUCCGUGUACCUUUUCCAGGACUUUUUCUAAACAGCUUUAGCUGCUAUAUGGAAUAACUGAUCAGUAUAUGUGAAGUUACACUUUAUUUACAGACCAUACAUUUCAUGAAGAUUUCAGGCAGCAAUGAAAACCUUUUGACUCCUCACUGUGAGGAAAGCAAACGUCAUGUUGUGAAUAGCCCUGUGGAGCAGUCCCUAUGUCAAGGAACUGAGGAAGGCUUCCAGCCUAGAGCCAGAAAGGAACUGAAGCCCUCAGUCCAACAAGCCCAGGAAGAUCCAAAUUCUGCCAACAACCAUGGAAGUGAGCUUGGAAGUAGAGCUGCCGCCAGAUAAGACCGAAGCCCCAGGUGACAGCUUGAUUGCAGCUUUCUAAGAAUCCUUGAGGCAGAGGCACCAGGCUGAGCUACACCUGGAAUCCUGACCAUGGGAUAAUAGUGUUAAGACAUUAAGAAAUGGGGUAUGAUAUUUUUGUGCAUCAAUAACUAGUACACAGUGCGUAUAAAUUUCACUUAAAAUGUGAGUGUAAAAAGUCCCAAUUUUUGUUUAGUUUUGCAUGAAAGAGUAAAAUGCCUCUGAUCAAAAAUCUCCAUAAAGCUUUAAAACAGCCCAUUUGGAGCUACUCCUUGAAUGGCUCUAGGUGUGGUAGAGCCACAAUUGCACACAAAUAUCCCAGAAGUAUCGUUGAAUCAAUAAAUAACUUCCAAGGUUUCUUUGACGCAUAGGUUGCUGUCUACACUUGUCCAGUAUGUAAGACGCCAACAAGCUAUAAUAUUUUUCUAAGAGUUUAUUCCUCUAGUGUCACUGGCAUUGACCUCACCUACUUCCCUCCUCGGUCUGUUUUUGAAAGCGCCUCUAUUAGAAUCAUUACUUAUUUUUUUUUGUAUUAAAAAAACUUUUUUUAAUGUUUACUUAUUUUUGACAGACAGAGAGAGAGACAGAGCAUGAGCGGGGGAGGAG
Herpailurus yagouaroundi (jaguarundi) is the source of this 1443-nucleotide long non-coding RNA. RefSeq lists it as uncharacterized. The transcript is spliced from 3 exons. The record is from RefSeq and is a predicted model, not a curated record. NCBI's taxonomy places the organism in Eukaryota, Metazoa, Chordata, Mammalia, Carnivora, Felidae.